GCAUAUCAAUAAGCGGAGGAAAAGAAACCAACGGGGAUUGCCCUAGUAACGGCGAGUGAAGCGGCAACAGCUCAAAUUUGAAAUCUGGCUCUUUCAGAGUCCGAGUUGUAAUUUGCAGAGGGCGCUUUGGCUUUGGCAGCGGUCCAAGUUCCUUGGAACAGGACGUCACAGAGGGUGAGAAUCCCGUACGUGGUCGCUAGCUAUUGCCGUGUAAAGCCCCUUCGACGAGUCGAGUUGUUUGGGAAUGCAGCUCUAAAUGGGAGGUAAAUUUCUUCUAAAGCUAAAUAUUGGCCAGAGACCGAUAGCGCACAAGUAGAGUGAUCGAAAGAUGAAAAGCACUUUGGAAAGAGAGUCAAACAGCACGUGAAAUUGUUGAAAGGGAAGCGCUUGCAGCCAGACUUGCUUGCAGUUGCUCAUCCGGGCUUUUGCCCGGUGCACUCUUCUGUAGGCAGGCCAGCAUCAGUUUGGGCGGUGGGAUAAAGGUCUCUGUCACGUACCUCUCUUCGGGGAGGCCUUAUAGGGGAGACGACAUACCACCAGCCUAGACUGAGGUCCGCGCAUCUGCUAGGAUGCUGGCGUAAUGGCUGUAAGCGGCCCGUCUUGAAACACGGACCAAGGAGUCUAACAUCUAUGCGAGUGUUUGGGUGUCAAGCCCGAGCGCGUAAUGAAAGUGAACGGAGGUGGGAACCCGCAAGGGUGCACCAUCGACCGAUCCUGAAGUUUACGGAAGGAUUUGAGUAAGAGCAUGGCUGUUGGGACCCGAAAGAUGGUGAACUAUGCUUGAAUAGGGUGAAGCCAGAGGAAACUCUGGUGGAGGCUCGCAGCGGUUCUGACGUGCAAAUCGAUCGUCAAAUUUGGGCAUAGGGGCGAAAGACUAAUCGAACUAUCUAGUAGCUGGUUCUGC
This 904-nucleotide ribosomal RNA is filed under the name Bipolaris oryzae. Its description in RNAcentral is "LSU rRNA". It matches the Rfam family "Eukaryotic large subunit ribosomal RNA", at positions 38 to 960 of the family's 3401-position model. Lineage: Eukaryota; Fungi; Ascomycota; Dothideomycetes; Pleosporales; Pleosporaceae. The record is from RNAcentral.